GGGCAGUAUUAUGGAGUGGCUAGGAGCAUGAACUUUGUAGCCAGAGCGCCUGUGUCAAGGAAAGAUCUACCACUGCAUUUUUCUGCAAGACUGACAAAGUUAACUGACUUCUCUGUGCAUCAGUGUCCUCAGCUAUAAUAUAAGGAUCAUGAUAGUGCUUCAUGGGCUUUAUUAAAUCACAGGACACACAAGUGAAGAACAAUGAAUAAGAGGAUGAAACAAUUAAUAUGGGUGCAAACAUUUCAUCAUUAAUUUUUAAGGGAUUUUUAAAGAAAAGCUAGUAAAAUUUCCGUGUCAAACAACAUGCUUUAAGAAAAGAGAAACCUCUUUGGCUGGUAACUGUGUCUUCAGCCCUUCAGACAAGACAUGCUCGAGGAAAAAAACGGCAGUAGUUGCAGCACCGACAUAGACCCCAGCCUUGGUUUAAUUGUCAUUUUCUCAUGAAUCUGAAAACAGCCUUUUCACCUUGAAAGAGGAAAGUCGGCAAAUAACACACGUGUUAUGAGACUUGAAACUUUCCCAUUAAACGUACUGUGUUUUUUAACCUGUAAUUAUAACAAUUUUCCUUUUAAAUCUUGUCUAGAGCUGAAUCUUUUAUUCUUUUGGAAAUUGGGUAAAUGUUUAAUACUAGAAGACAUAAUCUCUUAGCUUUGUAGGUGAAGAAACUGUGAUCCAAGGAGUAAAACAAUUUACUCAAGGUCACAUAUUUAGUCAUUGUAAAGCACCUACCACAACACUUCACACAUAACAUGUUUACAAUAAAGAGAAAAU
This 771-nucleotide long non-coding RNA is filed under the name Homo sapiens (human). RNAcentral's name for it is "HSALNT0136687". Lineage: Eukaryota; Metazoa; Chordata; Mammalia; Primates; Hominidae. The record is from RNAcentral.